UUUCGUAUUCGAUGAAUUCGUGACGCGUCGUUCAAAAAAGAUUCUCAUUUCGUGCAGUAAUCCACGUCAAAAAUUAAACCAAUCGAAAAUAUUUACUCCCUAAUGCAAUUUAGGAAACUUAGACGAGUUAUCAACAUCAAGAUCGACAAGAAAAGGCGAGAGGUUUCAACGAACUACAACGAUGACUACGAUGACGACUACGACAACCAUGAACGUACAUCCCGAUGAGUCGGCUUAUCCGUUUUCGCGCGUCACUUCUAUACUUAGAUCUUAUACGUUUAUAAAACAGGGUACGACGAUGAGCGAGAGUCUUGUACAGGUGCUAUGAAUUGAGAAUGUCAUCAGCGACAGACUUCGGCACGCGUCAGAGUGUCUUUUCGAGUAAUGACAGUAUGACGAUUUACGCAAUCAAAAGUUUCUAAUGUUAAUAGUUAAAACGGGACAUGAGACUAAAUGUAUACACUUAGAUACAUAUCGGUCGAUUGCAAAAUAUUUAGCUAAACGUCAUUGGUUAGUCUUUAAAAAUGAAUUCAUAUAUAUAUAUGUAUAUAUAGUUAUACAAUAGCAAUGAAAAUAUUUUUUCAUGAUAAUAAUAGCAUUUCGUUAAAUCUCUAUUAAUUAAUUUUUUUGCGUGCAUUAAAGAAGAAGUGUAUAUUAAUUUCUGUGCAGUCGUUAAUCGCAUGAAAAAUGAAAUUAUUUACAAUCGUGUUAAUUAGUUUUAUAUAAAAGUAUUAUUCCAGUACCUAGAUAAAUAUAUCUAAGAUUUUAUCAAUGUUGAUUAUUUGUACGUAAACACGAAUAGAGAUUGAAAUCAUAUUUACGAUAACGUUCUCGUUUAACGAAAUAAACAUGGCGCAAACGAGAAAAGAAUCGAAAUAAAAGGGUAAAACCAAGGAAAGGCGUCCACGUAUGUAACUUACAUUGAUGAUUUAUAUGUAUGCAUACAUACAUACAUACAUAGAUACUUAGAUGCUUACGUAAGCACGUAUGUACGUAGAUAAGAAAACACGUUUAUUCGAGAAACGACGUGUUUGAAGUUAGCUUACUCGGCAAGAGUACGAAUCGAAUGAGAUUCGCAUUACGUUUUCUUUUUUAUUUUUCUCUUUUUGUUCUACUUCUCUUCUUUUUUUUUAAGAGAGAGAGAGAAAGAGAAAACAACGAGAAUCAUUUCGAACAUUUUCGAAGACGAAACACACGUCGUAAUAUUUAAUCAUUGCCGUAGUUACGAUACUCGCAAUCGUGGGUCAGAAUUGCGGAAGUGAUUAUCGACGGCCGCGAAAAAAAGCAUGACGGUGGAACGAUCCGCGUUCAAGGUUCUCGCAAGUGCAUGUGUAUUCCUGUUGAAGAACUUCCCGACACUUUAGCCUAUAGCGAGUGUUAUUAUAUAACCUAUUGACCUUUAUCGCGUUUGCGUUAGAAUAUUUACUGCGAUGAUAAGCGAGAGAGGUAAAUCGUUUUACACAGUGCGCGAGAAAUAUAGAAAUAUUAAAGAAAUAUUACAUAUUGAUGAAUUCCUAAAUGAUAGGUUACAACUUACCUUUCAUAUAUAUAUAUAUAUAUAUAUAUAUAUAUAUAUAUUUUCUUUUUUUAUCGUGAUACUUGAUUACUUCGCGAAAAGCUAAUUCAUUGUCGAGUAUAUUCCACAUCAUAUCGGUGAUAUAAGAAAAUUUUAAUGAAUCAUUAAGCUUCAAUAAAAAAAAAAAAGGAGUGUAUAAAUAUUUAAUCAAAUGCGUUGUCUUUUGAAUAUACACCUACGUACAAAUCUAUUAGAGUUUUACAUGUACUACUAAUUGAUGUUUUGAUAUACGUAUCGAAAGAAGUCCUACGAUCAUUUGGACAAUCAAUUAAAAGAAAAGCAAUGAAGAUAACUGGCUUCGAUCAUAAAGCUAUUAAUCGAUCGUUAACACUAGACGAACUUUCGAUUCCUUUUCUUUCAACUCUUUAUUCGAUUGGUAGAUAAGGGAUGAAAGGUGUGGUUAAGAGAUUAAGGCGGUGGCGGUUUCCUGGCGAAUUCGAGAAAUAGGCCGUGAUGGUAGCGUGCACGAGCGCGCGCGCACACACAUUUUGCUGCCAACGGCAGUAACAGUAACAGCAGCAGCAGCAGCAGCAGCAGUAGCAGUAGCAGCAGCAGCAGCAGCAGCUAGCAGGAGGUAGGUCGAUCCAAUUGGGGUUCGGAUAGCAGCUCAGCAGCGCGAUACCCUCUCCCCUCUGGAGUUUCCGUGGCGAUCAAUACCUACGGUGCCAAAGCCGAGCCAGUCUCUACCGAUUUCCACGAGGAACAAACAAAGCGAAGAGGAGGAGGAGGAAGAAGAAAAAGAAAAAGAAAAAAAAGAACGAAAGAUCCGACGAAGAA
This is a long non-coding RNA of Vespa mandarinia (Asian giant hornet), 2353 nucleotides long. NCBI's taxonomy places the organism in Eukaryota, Metazoa, Arthropoda, Insecta, Hymenoptera, Vespidae. The record is from RefSeq and is a predicted model, not a curated record.